RNAcentral lists this ribosomal RNA (497 nucleotides) under uncultured bacterium. Its description in RNAcentral is "partial 16S ribosomal RNA". It matches the Rfam family "Bacterial small subunit ribosomal RNA", at positions 28 to 507 of the family's 1533-position model. The record is from RNAcentral.
GAUGAACGCUGGCGGCGUGCCUAAUACAUGCAAGUCGAGCGAACGGACGAGAAGCUUGCUUCUCUGAUGUUAGCGGCGGACGGGGGAGUAACACGUGGUUAACCUACCUUUAGGACUGGGAUAACUUCGGGAAACCGGAGCUAAAACCGGAUAAUAUUUUGAACGGCAGGGUUCAAAAGUGAAAGACGGUCUUGCUGUAACUUAUGGAUGGAUCCGCGCUGCAUUAGCUAGUUGGUAAGGUAACGGCUUACCAAGGCAACGAUGCAUAGCCGACCUGAGAGGGUGAUCGGCCACACUGGAACUGAGACACGGUCCAGACUCCUACGGGAGGCAGCAGUAGGGAAUCUUCCGCAAUGGGCGAAAGCCUGACGGAGCAACGCCGCGUGAGUGAUGAAGGUCUUCGGAUCGUAAAACUCUGUUAUUAGGGAAGAACAUAUGUGUAAGUAACUGUGCACAUCUUGACGGUACCUAAUCAGAAAGCCACGGCUAACUACGUG